This is a long non-coding RNA of Anolis carolinensis (green anole), 1734 nucleotides long. The record is from Ensembl. NCBI's taxonomy places the organism in Eukaryota, Metazoa, Chordata, Lepidosauria, Squamata, Anolidae.
AUGCCAGCCACAGAUGCAGGUGAAACGUCAAGAGAGAAUGCUACUGGAACACAGCUAUACAUGCCAAAAAACUCAAAGCAACCCCGGGAUUCCGGCCACGAUAGCCUUCACAGCACAGAAUGGCUGACUAAAAUAAUUUCUAAAACAAUCUGGAUUCGAAGUGUAAGUCCGUCUUUCCACCCAAAGAUAUUUCCUGUGCAGUCACAAGUAACAAUGUUCAGGAGUGUCAUAGACAUUGAGGAGUUGUGUAUUCAAUUGGAUCCUAGUAUAGAACGCUUGAUAGCAACUCCCUGUUCACAUAAUGCUUCAUGGGUCUGUAAAGCCCCAUUAGCUUCAGAGCCCGUGGAUGCUCCAGAGAAGUGGUGGAUGUCAUUGGUGUCCUCCCUUUCAGUAACCAUUGUUGUAUUGGUGGUGACUGUGUUUGUUACAUAUAAAUAUGGAUUCUGGGUUACAGAAGUAGCAAAUGAAGUGAAACCACAAUCCCUUUAGUCAGAUGGCCAGAGCCAUUCAUAUAUAGAAAGAGAAAAACCAAAUAUACAUUGUUGGUUGUCUGUAAGAAGCAAACCCAUUGACUACUUUUUGCUUGUUAUUUAAAAUGUAUAAACUGGUGAGGUGGAUAAGACUUAAAGUGUAAGAAAACAAUACUGAGGAAAGAAAAAUAGGAAACUGUCUAGAGGCUUUAGAAAGUAUUUUUAAAACAUUUAUGAGGCUGCAAUAAUUUAAAAGUAACGGCAGAACGUAUUUUAAUAGAAAUUAUUCCUUUAAUACAAAGUCUUAAACAAUUUUGCAGCCAUUAAGAAAUCUUCCACAUGUCUGUUUUCUUGUUUCUUAAAUUAUUAAAUAUAUUUGUGAAAAGGGUAUCUUCUUUUUUGCAGUUAAUUUGCAGGUAACAAAGCUUCAUGUCUUGAAGUAUGCUUUGUGUAACUUGAAAAACUUUUGCUCCAUUUUGAGUUCAUCAGAAAUAUGUUUUAUAAUCUCGUAUAGGUUAACUUUAUGUAUCAGCUGAUGGCAGGUUUGGGUGUUCAAAUUAUGGCUUUUGAUAGGACCCAUGGAUAUGUUGAGGGUCAUUCUAUGGGGACGGAAAAACAGCAGCACUCAAUGGGAGGAUGGUGGUGGCUGCCAACACCGCCAUUUCCCCAGUCGGGCAUACAUAAAGGCCAAAAGUGAUGCCAUGGCAAAGAGAAUAGAAAAGACUGGUGCUUUUUGUAUAUUCUCCUGGGACAGACUGCACUCUCACCUUUGCCAUGCAACUCAAAGAAUGGGAUGGUUCCUUUAUGUACACUAUUUACCCUGGCCUAUGGAUAAGUUGACCCAGGUUUUUUGAGUUGAUUUUUUUUGCUAAAAUUUUCAGACUUAUACAUGAGUAUAUAUAGUAGUUUGGGUUUUUUUCUCCCUGAGAUCUGUUUUGUCCAAAUAAUUAUAGGGAGAUUGUAAACAGAUAAUGUGGUUUACUGUGUUUAGAAUUUUGACGGUCAAUUAUGCUGAUAUCUAGGAGAAGUAGAUGUUCCUCAAGGAAGUGAUUGUUCUUGAUCUAUGUUAUUAAAAAACACUUCCAUGUUUCAAGGAGAUGCCUUAAACAAUCUUGAGAGGCAAUAAAAUGAGUUAAUACAUGUUUUCAUUUGAUAUGCGAUUGUGAGGUAACGCUUACUGAAGAUCUCUUGGCAGGAGGCAGAGCAAAUUAUGCCAAGCUUGAGGCAGAUUUUUUUUGUAACUCCUGGAUGAUAAAAAACCCCU